This 731-nucleotide ribosomal RNA is filed under the name uncultured Gammaproteobacteria bacterium. RNAcentral describes it as "bacterial SSU rRNA". It matches the Rfam family "Bacterial small subunit ribosomal RNA", at positions 330 to 1051 of the family's 1533-position model. The record is from RNAcentral. Lineage: Bacteria; Pseudomonadati; Pseudomonadota; Gammaproteobacteria.
CGCCACCUCCUACGGGAGGCAGCAGUGGGGGAAUAUUGGACAAUGGGCGCAAGCCUGAUCCAGCAAUGCCGCGUGUGUGAAGAAGGCCUGAGGGUUGUAAAGCACUUUCAAUUGUGAAGAAGGGUUCAAGUUUAAUAGACUUGAACAUUGACGUUAACAAUAGACCGAAGCACCGGCUAACUCUGUGCCAGCAGCCGCGGUAAUACAGAGGGUGCAAGCGUUAAUCGGAAUUCCUGGGCGUAAAGCGCGCGUAGGUGGUUUGAUAAGUUGGAUGUGAAAUCCCCGGGCUUAACCUGGGUCGGUCAUUCAAAACUGUCAGACUAGAGUAUGGUAGAGGGUAGUGGAAUUUCUAGUGUAGCGGUGAAAUGCGUAGAUAUUAGAAGGAACACCAGUGGCGAAGGCACUGCCUGGACUGAUACUGACACUGAGGUGCGAAAGCGUGGGUAGCGAACAGGAUUAGAUACCCUGGUAGUCCACGCCGUAAACGAUGACAACUAGACGUUGGGUUCCUUAGAGGACUUAAUGUCGAAGCUAACGCGUUAAGUUGUCCGCCUGGGGAGUACGGUCGCAAGAUUAAAACUCAAAGGAAUUGACGGGGGCCCGCACAAGCGGUGGAGCAUGUGGUUUAAUUCGAUGCAACGCGAACAACCUUACCAUCCCUUGACACCCAGAGAAUCUGUUAGAGAUAGUAGAGUGCCUUCGGGAACUCUGAGACAGGUGCUGCAUGGCUG